Molecule: ribosomal RNA, 465 nt
Filed under: uncultured bacterium
Lineage: Bacteria
Description: partial 16S ribosomal RNA
Rfam family: Bacterial small subunit ribosomal RNA
Source: RNAcentral
CCUACGGGUGGCAGCAGUGGGGAAUAUUGCGCAAUGGGCGAAAGCCUGACGCAGCGACGCCGCGUGAGGGAUGAAGGUCUUCGGAUCGUAAACCUCUGUCAGCAGGGAAGAACGGUCACUGUGCUAAUCAGCAGUGAAUUGACGGUACCUGCAAAGGAAGCACCGGCUCACUCCGUGCCAGCAGCCGCGGUAAGACGGAGGGUGCGAGCGUUAAUCGGAUUUACUGGGCGUAAAGCGCGCGUAGGCGGUAUGUCAAGUCAAGGGUGAAAUCCCCGGGCUCAACGUGGGAACUGCCGUUGAAACUGGCAAACUUGAGUGUGUGAGAGGAUAGCGGAAUUCCAGGUGUAGGAGUGAAAUCCGUAGAUAUCUGGAGGAACAUCAGUGGCGAAGGCGACUAUCUGGCACAUAACUGACGCUGAGGAGCGAAAGCGUGGGUAGCAAACAGGAUUAGAUACCCGAGUAGUC